GAAGAUAGUGGGACAGUUACAAAUGAAAAUAUUUUAAAAAGCAUUUGUAUCCCUUUUCCCCUUUACAACUGGUCUCCCACCUACCGAAGGCUUCCGGUGCAGCAGUUUCUCAAUCUCUCUGUUUGGACGGCUCUUCAUUCAGUCUUCAUGUGGCGAGAAACGCUACAGUGGCCGAGCUUAAAUUUGCCAUGGAGGAUGCAUUUAAUCAUAUUCCCAAUGACGAUAGAACAAGAUUAUGUUUUAGGUGAGACGGUCGGCUUUAAAGAUGACAAUUGAGUUAUUUUACGAGUUGUGAAGAAUUGAGGAUUUUAGUUUAUAAUAAUGAGGUUGAUUUUAAUUUUAAAGUUAAUGUAGUGCAUAAAGAAGUUUUUAAAAUGAUGAGUAAUUAUCUAUUAUGGUUUCUUUAUUAUGAUAGAUUUUUA
Long non-coding RNA from Salvia hispanica, 422 nucleotides. RefSeq lists it as uncharacterized. Lineage: Eukaryota; Viridiplantae; Streptophyta; Magnoliopsida; Lamiales; Lamiaceae. The record is from RefSeq and is a predicted model, not a curated record.